GACGAACGCUGGCGGCGUGCUUAACACAUGCAAGUCGAACGGUAAGGCCCUUCGGGGUACACGAGUGGCGAACGGGUGAGUAACACGUGGGUGAUCUGCCCUGCACUUCGGGAUAAGCCUGGGAAACUGGGUCUAAUACCGGAUAGGACUCCUGGCUUCAUGGUUGGGGGUGGAAAGCUUUUGCGGGGUGGGAUGGGCCCGCGGCCUAUCAGCUUGUUGGUGGGGUAAUGGCCUACCAAGGCGACGACGGGUAGCCGGCCUGAGAGGGUGACCGGUCACACUGGGACUGGGAUACGGCCCAGACUCCUACGGGAGGCAGCAGUGGGGAAUAUUGCACAAUGGGCGCAAGCCUGAUGCAGCGACGCCGCGUGAGGGAUGACGGCCUUCGGGUUGUAAACCUCUUUCAGCUAUGACGAAGCGCAAGUGACGGUAGUAGCAGAAGAAGGACCGGCCAACUACGUGCCAGCAGCCGCGGUAA
RNAcentral lists this ribosomal RNA (478 nucleotides) under uncultured bacterium. RNAcentral describes it as "partial 16S ribosomal RNA". It matches the Rfam family "Bacterial small subunit ribosomal RNA", at positions 28 to 523 of the family's 1533-position model. The record is from RNAcentral.